CAGCAGCCACGGUAAUACGAAGGGUGCAAGCGUUACUCGGAAUUACUGGGCGUAAAGCGUGCGUAGGUGGUGGUUUAAGUCCGUUGUGAAAGCCCUGGGCUCAACCUGGGAAUUGCAGUGGAUACUGGGUCACUAGAGUGUGGUAGAGGAUAGUGGAAUUUCCGGUGUAGCAGUGAAAUGCGUAGAGAUCGGAAGGAACAUCUGUGGCGAAGGCGACUAUCUGGGCCAACACUGACACUGAGGCACGAAAGCGUGGGGAGCAAACAGGAUUAGAUACCCGCGUAGUCCCUGUCUCUUAUAC
RNAcentral lists this ribosomal RNA (301 nucleotides) under uncultured bacterium. RNAcentral describes it as "partial 16S ribosomal RNA". It matches the Rfam family "Bacterial small subunit ribosomal RNA", at positions 509 to 807 of the family's 1533-position model. The record is from RNAcentral.